UACAGAGGUCCCAAGCGUUGUUCGGAUUCACUGGGCGUAAAGGGUGCGUAGGUGGCCAGGUAAGUUCGGUGUGAAAGCUCGGAGCUCAACUCCGAAAAGUCAUUGAAUACUAUCUGGCUGGAGGGUCGGAGGGGAGACUGGAAUUCUCGGUGUAGCAGUGAAAUGCGUAGAUAUCGAGAGGAACACCAGUGGCGAAGGCGAGUCUCUGGACGAUACCUGACACUGAGGCACGAAAGCUAGGGGAGCAAACAGG
This 253-nucleotide ribosomal RNA is filed under the name uncultured bacterium. RNAcentral's name for it is "partial 16S ribosomal RNA". It matches the Rfam family "Bacterial small subunit ribosomal RNA", at positions 524 to 776 of the family's 1533-position model. The record is from RNAcentral.